RNAcentral lists this ribosomal RNA (378 nucleotides) under Triticum aestivum (bread wheat). RNAcentral's name for it is "partial small subunit ribosomal RNA". Lineage: Eukaryota; Viridiplantae; Streptophyta; Magnoliopsida; Poales; Poaceae. The record is from RNAcentral.
AUGAACCCAGCAGAGAUCUUGAAUGUCAGAUUCCACUUUGGGGGGCAAUUCAUUAGGAUUGGUCCAAGUCUUAAUUAUGUUGGAGGAGAUUCUGGAAUGUCAGAGAUUGAGCGCGACAAGCUCUCUUUACAGGAGGUGAAAGGAUUUGUAGGAGAUUAUAUGGCAGUGAAGGAGAGCAUGAAGUAUUAUUUCUUGUUGCCUGGCAGAGAUUUGUCAAAUGGAUUACUCUUUUUACAUGAUGACGCUGGCUGCAUGAAGAUGUCUGACUAUAUUACAGAUGGAGGAGUUGCUGACAUAUAUGUGGAGUAUAAUGGUGAACAAGAUUAAAAGGAAGAAAUAGAUAGUGGGUCAGAUUUUGAAGAUGAGCUUGAUGAACUG